This 412-nucleotide ribosomal RNA is filed under the name Cryptocercus darwini. Its description in RNAcentral is "partial 16S ribosomal RNA". The record is from RNAcentral. Lineage: Eukaryota; Metazoa; Arthropoda; Insecta; Blattodea; Cryptocercidae.
UUACGCUGUUAUCCCUAAGGUAAUUUAGUCUUAUAAUCAUUAAAAAUGGAUCAAAAACUUAUAAAUAAAUAUAAAAAAAAAUAAAAAGAGUUAUAUUAAUCUUCCCAUCACCCCAACAAAAUUUAAAUAAUAUUAAAAUUAUUACCCCACAAAAAAUAAAAAAUUAAAUUAAACUCUAUAGGGUCUUCUCGUCCCAAAAAAUUAUUUAGGCAUUUUAACCUAAAAUUUAAAUUCAACAAAAUAAAAAUUUAAGAAAGUAUAUACCUCGUCAAACCAUUCAUUCCAGCAUUCAAUUAAAAAACUAAUGAUUAUGCUACCUUUGCACAGUCAAAAUACUGCGGCCAUUUAAAAAUCAGUGGGCAGGCAAUACUUCAAAUAAAUUACAAGAAGAGAUGUUUUUGUUAAACAGGAG